Molecule: ribosomal RNA, 468 nt
Filed under: uncultured bacterium
Lineage: Bacteria
Description: partial 16S ribosomal RNA
Rfam family: Bacterial small subunit ribosomal RNA
Source: RNAcentral
GACGAACGCUGGCGGCGUGCUUAACACAUGCAAGUCGAACGGAAAGGCCCUGCUUUUGUGGGGUGCUCGAGUGGCGAACGGGUGAGUAACACGUGAGUAACCUGCCCUGGACUUUGGGAUAACUUCAGGAAACUGGGGCUAAUACCGGAUAGGAGCUCCUGCUGCAUGGUGGGGGUUGGAAAGUUUCGGCGGUUGGGGAUGGACUCGCGGCUUAUCAGCUUGUUGGUGGGGUAGUGGCUUACCAAGGCUUUGACGGGUAGCCGGCCUGAGAGGGUGACCGGCCACAUUGGGACUGAGAUACGGACCAGACUCCUACGGGAGGCAGCAGUGGGGAAUAUUGCACAAUGGGCGGAAGCCUGAUGAAGCAACGCCGCGUGCGGGAUGACGGCCUUCGGGUUGUAAACCGCUUUAGCCUGUGACGAAGCGUGAGUGACGGUAAUGGGUAAAGAAGCACCGGCUAACUACGUG